Molecule: long non-coding RNA, 1210 nt
Filed under: Marmota monax (woodchuck)
Lineage: Eukaryota; Metazoa; Chordata; Mammalia; Rodentia; Sciuridae
Source: RNAcentral
CAAUAAGCAGAAGGUGUACACUAAAACAAUAAUAAAAUGCAUAGUAUAGUAAAUACAUAGGCCAGCAACAUAGUUGUUCAUUAUUAUCAUUGAGUAUUAUGUGCUGAACCUGGUACAUGUCUGUAGGCCCAGCCACUCAAGAGGCUGAGGCAGGUGGAUCACAUGUUAGAGGCCAGCCUCAGCAACUCAGUGAGACCCUGUCUCAAAACAAAAAGAUAAAAAGGGUUGAGGAUGCAGAUCAGUGAUAAAGCAGGCUUGAGUUACAUCCCCAAUAUCAAAAUAAUAAUAAUAAACAUAUGUGUAUACAUAAAUAAAUAAAAGUUAAAGCUUGGCACUGGUGGUACAACGUGUAAUCUCACCUACUCAGGAAGCUGGUGCAGAAGGAUCACAGUCGGCCUGGGUAAUUCAGAUCCUGUCUCAAAAUUAAAAUAAAAAAGGGUGGGGAUGUAGCUUAGUGGUAAAUCACCCCUGGAUUCAAUCUCGGUACCACACACAUAUACAAGUAUAAUGUACAGCACAUAAUUGUAUGUGCUGUACUUUCACGUGAGUGGUGGCAUGGCAAGUUUGUACCAGCAUCUCCACAAACACGUGAAUAAUGUGCUGAACUACUAUAGUCUCAACAGGUGAUGAGGUUUCUUCAGCUCCAUUAGAAUCCCACAGGACCACAGUCAUGUAUGUUAUCCAUUGUUGACUGAAACUUCCUUAUGUAACGCACAACUAUACUAUACGUUUAUCACUAUGUGAUCUCCUGGGACCCAUUGGAAAAUAAAAGGAGAUGCUAUUAUUAAUUACACUGGUCCAGGCACCUGUAAUCACAGCAACUCUGGAGGCUGAAAUGGGAGGAUUGAAAGUUUGAGGCCAGCCUCAGCAACUUAGUGAGAGCCUGUCCCAAAUUUUUUUUAAAAGGGGCUGGAACUAUAGCUCAGCAGUAAGGCACUUCUGGGUUCAAUCCCCAGUACCACACACACACACAAAUAACAAUAAUUACACUGGAACAAUGGCUAGGAUGUGUAAUCACCCCAAUGACAGAGGAAGUGAAGGGUCUUCGGUAAGCAUGUAGGAGGUGCGUGAGACUCAGCUUGGAAAUAAGGUGGGUAAGCUUAUUUUAGGUAGAGAGUUUGAAGUGACAAUGGAAAUGAAGUCAAAAUUUUCCAUGAAGCAGCCAAAGAUGAGGCAUUGUGGUUCAGAACAAAAAAUAAAUAAAUAUAAC